CUUUGCCUCGUGGCAUCUGCUACAAAAUAAAGACACGGCUUGUGGUCCGUGGCUCUGUCUCUCCAGGAGGAGGCAGCGUCCCAUCGAGACCCAGCUUUCAUCCUCUUGUCUGUCUUUUCUGAGCCUUUCACCGCCCCCACUCAGGGUUACUGAACCUGGCAGAGCUGGCAUGGGUAUGCCAU
Pipistrellus kuhlii (Kuhl's pipistrelle) is the source of this 182-nucleotide long non-coding RNA. RefSeq lists it as uncharacterized. The transcript is spliced from 3 exons. Lineage: Eukaryota; Metazoa; Chordata; Mammalia; Chiroptera; Vespertilionidae. The record is from RefSeq and is a predicted model, not a curated record.